RNAcentral lists this transfer RNA (76 nucleotides) under Stappia stellulata. RNAcentral's name for it is "tRNA-Thr". It matches the Rfam family "tRNA". Rfam says of the family: Transfer RNA (tRNA) molecules are approximately 80 nucleotides in length. Their secondary structure includes four short double-helical elements and three loops (D, anti-codon, and T loops). The record is from RNAcentral. RNAcentral also lists the same sequence under 9 other names. Lineage: Bacteria; Pseudomonadati; Pseudomonadota; Alphaproteobacteria; Hyphomicrobiales; Stappiaceae.
GCCGGUAUAGCUCAGUUGGUAGAGCACCUGAUUUGUAAUCAGGGGGUCGCGGGUUCGAAUCCUGCUGCCGGCACCA